Molecule: ribosomal RNA, 752 nt
Filed under: uncultured bacterium
Lineage: Bacteria
Description: bacterial SSU rRNA
Rfam family: Bacterial small subunit ribosomal RNA
Source: RNAcentral
AGAGUUUGAUCAUGGCUCAGAAUCAACGCUGGCGGCGCGCUUGACACAUGCAAGUCGCACGAGAAAGGGAGCAAUCCUGAGUAAAGUGGCGUACGGGUGAGUAACACGUGGAUCAUCUACCUUUUAGUGGGGAAUACCCCUGGGAAACUGGGGACAAUACCGCAUAAGCUCGUGAGAGGAAAGCAGCAAUGCGCUGAAAGAGGAGUCCGCGGCUGAUUAGCUAGUUGGUGAGGUAACGGCCCACCAAGGCGAAGAUCGGUAGCCGGCCUGAGAGGGCACACGGCCACACUGGCACUGAAACACGGGCCAGACUCCUACGGGAGGCAGCAGUGGGGAAUCUUGCACAAUGGAGGAAACUCUGAUGCAGCGACGCCGCGUGAGCGAUGAAGCCCUUCGGGGUGUAAAGCUCUUUCGACGGGAACGAUAAUGACGGUACCCGAAGAAGAAGCUGCGGCUAACUACGUGCCAGCAGCCGCGGUAAUACGUAGGCAGCAAGCGUUGUUCGGAAUUACUGGGCGUAAAGAGUGUGUAGGCGGUGCACUAAGUCUGUCGUGAAAUCUCCCGGCUUAACUGGGAGGGUGCGGCGGAAACUGGUGUGCUUGAGGAUGGGAGAGGUAAGCGGAAUUCCUGGUGUAGCGGUGAAAUGCGUAGAUAUCAGGAGGAACACCUGGUGUAGACAGCUUACUGGACCAUUUCUGACGCUGAGACACGAAAGCGUGGGUAGCAAACAGGAUUAGAUACCCUAGUAGUCC